CUAAGUCAUCAUGGCCCUUACGGCCUAGGGCUACACACGUGCUACAAUGGUCGGUACAAAGGGUUGCCAAGCCGCGAGGUGGAGCUAAUCCCAUAAAACCGAUCGUAGUCCGGAUCGCAGUCUGCAACUCGACUGCGUGAAGUCGGAAUCGCUAGUAAUCGUGAAUCAGAAUGUCACGGUGAAUACGUUCCCGGGCCUU
RNAcentral lists this ribosomal RNA (199 nucleotides) under uncultured Pseudomonas sp. RNAcentral's name for it is "partial 16S ribosomal RNA". It matches the Rfam family "Bacterial small subunit ribosomal RNA", at positions 1185 to 1382 of the family's 1533-position model. Lineage: Bacteria; Pseudomonadati; Pseudomonadota; Gammaproteobacteria; Pseudomonadales; Pseudomonadaceae. The record is from RNAcentral.